AAUGUCUUGUUGAUGUUAUUGCCUGCUCAACUCAUCCCGAAAGAGAAAAACUUGAUAUUUAUAUCACAUGAAAAAUGUAGCCCUUAUCACAAACACUGUUUUCAUCUCUAUCUCUUAAAGUUAUUAGGUUCCUGUUUAGUUUGUUUUCAUAUACCUUCAUCUUCUGCUUUCUUUCUCUUCAAUGCUUACUACCCACAUUUCAAAAUUUUAAUUUUAGCGUAAAAUCAAGAACUCCUUUCUAAUCUCUUUUAUUUGGAUUUCAAAUUCUAUGCAGUUUUCUAGUUAUAUGAGAUUUGUGUUUGUUCUUGGCUAUUAAGCUAUAUCCAUUUUAGAUAUUAUAUUAAGUCCAUUAAGGUUGAUUUCAAGAUCAA
RNAcentral lists this unclassified non-coding RNA (371 nucleotides) under Hevea brasiliensis (rubber tree). Lineage: Eukaryota; Viridiplantae; Streptophyta; Magnoliopsida; Malpighiales; Euphorbiaceae. The record is from RNAcentral.